AUGGUUAUGUCUUCAUGUGGUUCGCUAUAUCCCUGCUACCUGUUUGAACUGCCUGCCCGUGUGCCUGCUCUCCGGUCCUCCCUGCCUGAACUGCUAACGCCAGCCCUGAUACUAUGAUCUGACUAUAAUGGACCCGGCAGACCUUCAGUGGGGAGUUAAACGAGGUGACAAAUGCUGUAGAGUGCCUCCUAACUUACUGCCAAAAAACCUUCAGCUUGGAACUAAAGGAUGCAGCUCUGGCAUUAGCCAUCCACCAGGUCACUUCUAAACAUUGGUCAGAAGUCACAGCUAAAGAGUUGAAGGAGAUUACAUAAGCAUCUUCUGUCCUCCUUUAACUUGUGUAUGUUCGGG
Molecule: long non-coding RNA, 351 nt
Organism: Xiphias gladius (swordfish)
Lineage: Eukaryota; Metazoa; Chordata; Actinopteri; Istiophoriformes; Xiphiidae
Exons: 3
Source: RefSeq, a predicted model, not a curated record